RNAcentral lists this unclassified non-coding RNA (674 nucleotides) under Hevea brasiliensis (rubber tree). Lineage: Eukaryota; Viridiplantae; Streptophyta; Magnoliopsida; Malpighiales; Euphorbiaceae. The record is from RNAcentral.
GAUGCUUCCCUAAGCUUGAUAGGACAUGUCUGGGAACUAUGGAGUGAAGGCAGGGCACUGGAACUCAUAGAUUCAUCAUUAGAGGAGUCUUAUAUUCCUCAUGAAGUUUCGAGAUGCAUUCAAAUCGGACUCUUAUGUGUGCAAGAAGAUGCUAUGGAUAGACCAACCAUGUUAGUAGUUGUUCUCAUGUUGAAUAGUGAAAUGGCUCUUCCUUCACCAAAACAACCUGCAUUUAUAUUUAGAAAAUCCAGCAACAAUUCUAACUCAACUCUAGGGGAAGAAGGACCAUGUUCUGUAAAUGAGGUGACAAUGACUGGAGUUGUAACUCGCUAAACUGUAGCUGCAGUGGAGAUUUCUAUAACUGUUGUGUGACUACAAUAGGCGCAACAUGUCUGGAUAUGAGAUGGUCUACAAGCAGGGGAAGAAAAGACUAGGAUCUCAGACUAACUGCUGCAUUAAGUUCUCUCCUAUUUAAUCCAAGUGGGCUCAAUUCAUCCGGAACAUUGAGGUCAGUUAUUACAUGAUUGAAUGUGAAUCAUGGUUUCAAAUCGCGGUGGCGGCCGUGUUCGCGGUCACGGUUGUAGGUAAUAAGCCUGUAAUGGGUGUAACGUAAUGUUAACUACUUAACGCUAUGCAAAUUAUUUUGAAAAAUUUGUAAAAUCCAUAAAAUGAAG